GCGCUUGCUUCAGCAGCACAUAUACAAAAAUUAGAAUGGUACAGAGAAAAUUAGCAUGGCCUUUGCAUGAGGAUGGCACACAAAUUUGUGAAAAAUAAAAAUAAAAA
This is a small nuclear RNA of Sapajus apella (tufted capuchin), 107 nucleotides long. Lineage: Eukaryota; Metazoa; Chordata; Mammalia; Primates; Cebidae. The record is from RefSeq and is a predicted model, not a curated record.